RNAcentral lists this non-coding RNA (31 nucleotides) under Rattus norvegicus (Norway rat). Lineage: Eukaryota; Metazoa; Chordata; Mammalia; Rodentia; Muridae. The record is from RNAcentral.
UAAGGAGACCUUAACUGGGAUGGACUUAAAU